GACGGGUUAGUAACGCGUGGGAACGUGCCCUUUUCUGCGGAAUAGCCACUGGAAACGGUGAGUAAUACCGCAUACGCCCUUCGGGGGAAAGAUUUAUCGGAGAAGGAUCGGCCCGCGUUAGAUUAGGUAGUUGGUGGGGUAAUGGCCUACCAAGCCUACGAUCUAUAGCUGGUUUGAGAGGAUGAUCAGCAACACUGGGACUGAGACACGGCCCAGACUCCUACGGGAGGCAGCAGUGGGGAAUCUUAGACAAUGGGGGCAACCCUGAUCUAGCCAUGCCGCGUGAGUGAUGAAGGCCUUAGGGUCGUAAAGCUCUUUCGCUGGGGAUGAUAAUGACAGUACCCAGUAAAGAAACCCCGGCUAACUCCGUGCCAGCAGCCGCGGUAAUACGGAGGGGGUUAGCGUUGUUCGGAAUUACUGGGCGUAAAGCGCACGUAGGCGGACUGGAAAGUUAGAGGUGAAAUCCCGGGGCUCAACCCCGGAACUGCCUUUAAAACUAUCAGUCUAGAGUUCGAGAGAGGUGAGUGGAAUUCCGAGUGUAGAGGUGAAAUUCGUAGAUAUUCGGAGGAACACCAGUGGCGAAGGCGGCUCACUGGCUCGAUACUGACGCUGAGGUGCGAAAGUGUGGGGAGCAAACAGGAUUAGAUACCCUGGUAGUCCACACCGUAAACGAUGAAUGCCAGUCGUCCGGGUUGGCUUGCAACUC
RNAcentral lists this ribosomal RNA (706 nucleotides) under Roseobacter sp. MED001. RNAcentral's name for it is "bacterial SSU rRNA". It matches the Rfam family "Bacterial small subunit ribosomal RNA", at positions 100 to 840 of the family's 1533-position model. The record is from RNAcentral. Lineage: Bacteria; Pseudomonadati; Pseudomonadota; Alphaproteobacteria; Rhodobacterales; Roseobacteraceae.